GCUAAGAGAUGUGGCUUGCGGCACAUUAGUUAGUUGGUAAGGUAACGGCUUACCAAGACUAUGAUGUGUAGCUGGACUGAGAGGUUGAACGGCCACAUUGGGAUUGAGAUACGGCCCAAACUCCUACGGGAGGCAGCAGUAAGGAAUUUUCGGCAAUGGAGGAAACUCUGACCGAGCAACGCCGCGUGAACGAUGAAAUAUUUAGGUAUGUAAAGUUCUUUUAUUAAAGAAGAAAAAAUGAUGGAAAAAUCAUUCUGACGGUAUUUAAUGAAUAAGCCCCGGCUAACUAUGUGCCAGCAGCUGCGGUAAUACAUGGGGGGCAAGCGUUAUCCGGAUUUAUUGGGCGUAAAGGGUGUGUAGGCGGUUUAAUAAGUCUAUGGUAUAAGUUCAACGCUUAACGUUGUGAUGCUAUGGAAACUGUUUGACUAGAGUUGGAUAGAGGCAAGUGGAAUUCCAUGUGUAGCGGUAAAAUGCGUAAAUAUAUGGAGGAACACCAGUAGCGAAGGCGGCUUGCUGGGUCUUAACUGACGCUGAGGCACGAAAGCGUGGGGAGCAAACAGGAUUAGAUACCCUGGUAGUCCACGCCGUAAACGAUGAGUACUAAGUGUUGGGUUAAACCAGUGCUGAAGUUAACACAUUAAGUACUCCGCCUGAGUAGUACGUACGCAAGUAUGAAACUUAAAGGAAUUGACGGGACUCCGCACAAGCGGUGGAUCAUGUUGUUUAAUUCGAAGAUACACGAAAAACCUUACCAGGUCUUGACAUACUCUGCAAAGCUAUAGAAAUAUAGUGGAGGUUAUCAGGGAUACAGGUGGUGCAUGGUUGUCGUCAGCUCGUGUCGUGAGAUGUUGGGUUAAGUCCCGCAACGAGCGCAACCCUUAUCGCUAGUUACCAUCAUUUAGUUGGGCACUUUAGUGAGACUGCCAAUGAUAAAUUGGAGGAAGGUGGGGAUUACGUCAAAUCAUCAUGCCCCUUAUGACCUGGGCUACAAACGUGAUACAAUGGCUGUUACAAAGAGUAGCUGAAGCGUGAGUUUUUAGCAAAUCUCAAAAAAACAGUCUCAGUUCGGAUUGAAGUCUGCAACUCGACUUCAUGAAGUCGG
RNAcentral lists this ribosomal RNA (1102 nucleotides) under Candidatus Phytoplasma mali. RNAcentral describes it as "bacterial SSU rRNA". It matches the Rfam family "Bacterial small subunit ribosomal RNA", at positions 217 to 1329 of the family's 1533-position model. The record is from RNAcentral. Lineage: Bacteria; Bacillati; Mycoplasmatota; Mollicutes; Acholeplasmatales; Acholeplasmataceae.